AGUGAAUGAUAAGCUUGCUUUGAAUUCAUUUAGCGGCGGACGGGUGAGUAACGCGUGGGCAACCUGCCUUGAUCUGGGGGAUAACACAGAGAAAUUUGUGCUAAUACCGCAUAACGUAUCUCCAAGGCAUCUUGGAGAUAUCAAAGGAGCAAUCCGGAUUAAGAUGGGCCCGCGUCUGAUUAGCUAGUUGGUAGGGUAACGGCCUACCAAGGCGAGGAUCAGUAGCCGAACUGAGAGGUUGAUCGGCCACAUUGGAACUGAGACACGGUCCAGAGACCUACGGGAGGCAGCAGUCCC
Molecule: unclassified non-coding RNA, 297 nt
Filed under: uncultured bacterium
Lineage: Bacteria
Description: partial contains 16S ribosomal RNA and 16S-23S ribosomal RNA intergenic spacer region
Rfam family: Bacterial small subunit ribosomal RNA
Source: RNAcentral